RNAcentral lists this transfer RNA (54 nucleotides) under Stylochyrus rarior. RNAcentral's name for it is "tRNA-Ser". The record is from RNAcentral. Lineage: Eukaryota; Metazoa; Arthropoda; Arachnida; Mesostigmata; Ologamasidae.
AAACUACUACUUGAAAGCUGCUAACUUUCUUAAAAUAUUUUAUAUUUAGUUUUU